AGAGUUUGAUCCUGGCUCAGGACGAACGCUGGCGGCGUGCCUAAUACAUGCAAGUCGAGCGGAUCUUCAUUAGCUUGCUUUUGAAGAUCAGCGGCGGACGGGUGAGUAACACGUGGGCAACCUGCCUGUAAGACUGGGAUAACUUCGGGAAACCGGAGCUAAUACCGGAUAAUCCUUUCCCUCUCAUGAGGGAAAGCUGAAAGACGGUUUCSGCUGUCACUUACAGAUGGGCCCGCGGCGCAUUAGCUAGUUGGUGAGGUAACGGCUCACCAAGGCGACGAUGCGUAGCCGACCUGAGAGGGUGAUCGGCCACACUGGGACUGAGACACGGCCCAGACUCCUACGGGAGGCAGCAGUAGGGAAACUUCCGCAAUGGACGAAAGUCUGACGGAGCAACGCCGCGUGAGCGAUGAAGGCCUUCGGGUCGUAAAGCUCUGUUGUCAGGGAAGAACAAGUAUCGGAGUAACUGCCGGUACCUUGACGGUACCUGACCAGAAAGCCACGGCUAACUACGUGCCAGCAGCCGCGGUAAUAC
This 535-nucleotide ribosomal RNA is filed under the name uncultured Bacillus sp. RNAcentral describes it as "bacterial SSU rRNA". It matches the Rfam family "Bacterial small subunit ribosomal RNA", at positions 8 to 526 of the family's 1533-position model. The record is from RNAcentral. Lineage: Bacteria; Bacillati; Bacillota; Bacilli; Caryophanales; Bacillaceae.